Non-coding RNA from Paralichthys olivaceus (Japanese flounder), 652 nucleotides. The record is from RefSeq and is a predicted model, not a curated record. Lineage: Eukaryota; Metazoa; Chordata; Actinopteri; Pleuronectiformes; Paralichthyidae.
UACCUGUGUAAUAUUUUGUCUCGUGUGUUUGGAACAAUAAAGUUGACUCUAUUUGAUUUGUUCAGGGGCUCCUCCUGUGCUGGCCCCCUGGCGGCAGGUGUGGGUAGCGCAGAGAAGUGCAGAGGCUCAGCCCCCUGGAGCUUCCCGAGGACCGGACCGAUCCUCCGCUUCUCCCCGCUGCUUCCUCCUCCACGCACCGUGAGCUGCGGGACUCACUCCGCUGCGGCCGCCGGAUACACAAAUCAGCCACGGGAAUCGAACCUGCACCGCCGGAGACAGGUUGAUGUCUCCUCACCGAGCGCCCCCAGGGUCGCUUUCCAUCCUGACUGCUGAUCGCUCGCCACCUCUGUUAGCCUCUUGAGCGAUUCGAUUGGUCGGUCGCCCCCCCGCCCCCAGCUCAGAGAGACAACGCACAGGUUCCUCCGAGCCCUGCCUGGGCAGGACUGCACCGCCAUGGACACUGAGUCCACCUACUCGGGCUAUUCCUACUACUCUGGACGCUCCCGGGGAUCCCACAGGCAUGGGGAGCGAAGCCGGGACCGCCACAAGCCGCGCAGUAAAGACAGCCGCUCCGAAAAGUCUGUAACAAUCAACACGCCGCCUGCAGAGCCGCUGCUGGGAGACUCGGCCGUUCGGGGUGAGCAGGUCCAGG